RNAcentral lists this long non-coding RNA (793 nucleotides) under Brassica napus (rape). Its description in RNAcentral is "long non-coding RNA (BNAP_LNC018500)". The record is from RNAcentral. Lineage: Eukaryota; Viridiplantae; Streptophyta; Magnoliopsida; Brassicales; Brassicaceae.
UAUGGUUUGGUUUGGAUUGGUUUACUCAUUUUGACACUCGUAUUCAUAAAUCAUUGGAUUAAACCAGUGAGUAACAAGCACACAUCAAUUAUUUUAGCCAUUGAUUCUAUUCAUUAGAGAAUAGUAUAAAGUAUUUGAAGACGAUAUUUUUUUCUUGCAAUGUCUCUUUAUUAAUACGAGUUUUAUGUCAGUUUUCUUUUUCUUAUACAUGCCUUUUCUUUUUUUAUUAAGAUCUUUUCAUUUUAUAUCAAUAUCCCUAUUUUUGCCAACAUCAUUUUCCUUGACAGCUUCAUUUUCUUUGCUAACUUCCAAAUUACCAUUUUUAUAUGGGCGGAUGUUAAUUCAAGAGGAGCUUUUACAAGAUGUAAAACCCAUCUAUAACAAUAAGUCCUCCAUUUUGUCGAACAAGUGUUGACCAAGAUCGACAAAUUUGAAAAAAAAACUCUGCAUGAAUUGUGAUCGGCCUAUUGCAGAAGCUGUAGGUUGUCGCGAUGUUUGGAGUCAAUGAGCUCAUGUCAAUUUCAAGACGACAUGUCAUGAAUGCAAGACAUGGUAUUGGCGUACCAUGAUGCUCAAUCUUGCUCAUAUAUUAGUUGUCAUACACAAGAUGUCAUGGAUGCGCUGUCAUAGACAAAUUGUCAUAGACGGAAUGUCAUGGAAAGGAUUCAAGUGAACAAGCUUCUGUUCGGAUUUCUAUACCAUGCAUGGAAAGGCUACAUUGACGUAAUGUUUGGGGGCUAGCAUGAGACAUUAUGGACGAGCCGACAUGGACAAGCCAUUGAGGUAUGAGCUA